AAUCAACGCUGGCGGCGCGCUUAACACAUGCAUGUCGCACGAGAAAGGGAGCAAUCCUGAGUAAAGUGGCGUACGGGUGAGUAACACGUGGGAAUCUACCUCUUGGCGGGGAAUAACCCUGGGAAACCGGGGCUAAUACCGCAUAAGCUCGUGAGAGGAAAGCAGCAAUGCACCGAGAGGGGAGCCCGCGGCCGAUUAGCUAGUUGGUGGGGUAAUGGCUCACCAAGGCGAAGAUCGGUAGCCGGCCUGAGAGGGCACACGGCCACACUGGCACUGAAACACGGGCCAGACUCCUACGGGAGGCAGCAGUGGGGAAUCUUGCACAAUGGGGGAAACCCUGAUGCAGCGACGCCGCGUGAGCGAUGAAGCCCUUCGGGGUGUAAAGCUCUUUCGACAGGAACGAUAAUGACGGUACCUGGAGAAGAAGCUGCGGCUAACUACGU
Molecule: ribosomal RNA, 443 nt
Filed under: uncultured bacterium
Lineage: Bacteria
Description: partial 16S ribosomal RNA
Rfam family: Bacterial small subunit ribosomal RNA
Source: RNAcentral